This is a non-coding RNA of Oryctolagus cuniculus (rabbit), 3442 nucleotides long. The record is from RefSeq and is a predicted model, not a curated record. NCBI's taxonomy places the organism in Eukaryota, Metazoa, Chordata, Mammalia, Lagomorpha, Leporidae.
UAAUAUACUUUUAUUUAUUUUGUUGUUAUGAUAUUGAAAUGAGAAAUUAUAGAAUGUUUUUUCUGGUUUCUAGGAUGGCCCUUUUCUUUGAGCAAUCAAAAAAAUUUUUAUUAUAUCCAAGUAGGCGAAAAAUUCAGCAUCUCUUUAUGUUAAUAUGUAUAUUUUACUUUACAUUUGGGUGCAGUCUGCAUGAAUGUGUCUUCAGUACUUGUUAAGUUUCACAUAACAAUCUUCACAGGCUAUUAAUGGAUUUUUGUGUGAUAUAUGUAGAGCUAUAGUUUAGUAAUAGGAGGAGACGUGGACUUUGUUAAGAUAUAGGGAUUCAUCCAAGCUAUGUCACAGGCCAGCUGUUAAGUGAUAUUGGGUAGUUUAUUUAAUCUUUCUUUCUAGGCUUUCCCUUCUCAAAGGUAAAACUUGAGUAUUGGAUUAGAUGGUCCCUUCUGGAUCUAUAAUAAUGAUGAUAGCUUAUGUUACUUGAAACUUGAACCCGUUCAUUAAGUUAAUUUUCCUUCAUGUAGUCCUCAUAAUACUGUAACAUAGAAAUUAUGCUGUCGCUCCCCGACUCGCGGAGGAACGACACUGGACCCUGCGCUGUUCUCUUUCCCUGGUCCUUCCCGGGUUUGCUGCCGGCUCCCCCGCCCCCCCGCCGCGGAGGGGUGGAGGGGUGGCACCCCUGCCACUUCCCCCGCUUCCGCGGAGGAGCGGCACACUGCCGGCCGGCUCUCUCGGGUUGCUCAGAUGUUCCUGCUGUAUGUUCUCUCUCUCCUCCUUUAUAGUCCUUUUCCACCAAUCCCAACUCUGCUGGCGUUCUCUCCCCACGCUCUGAGCACGCUGCUCUCCUCCAAUCAGGAGCAGGAUCAGCUCCUGCAGCUUGUUAGUCGAAUUGGUGAGGCAGCUGUGUGGAAGUUGUUUAUUCCCUCUCAGCGCCAUAUGGUGGGAGAUCAGAUGCACAGAAUUAGUCCUAGCAGUUCCAGUAAUUUAGUCUAGUCUCGGUUGCUCCCCACACUAUGCUCCUUUUCCAAAUUAGUAAACUAAGGCACAUUGUGGUUAACAUGACUUAUUCAAACUCAUGUACCUAGUAAGUGUCACAGCUGGGAUACAAAUUUAGAUAUGUGACACUGUUGAGUUUAGCUACUUUGCAAUACUAUUUUUUUUUUUAAACCCAACACUAAUGAUGUGUGCAGUAGCAGGUUGUGGUAAGUUUUAGUUGUUCCAAAGCAUUUAUUGAAUACCUUCUGUGCUUUAGGCACUAUGCUAAGUACUAGGGAUGCAAGUUACAUACUGAAGGAUUGAGGAAUACAGAUACUAUAUAACAAGUUACACCUAGAAACUGUGUCAGAUGUACCAGAAAUGAUACUUACAAGGUACAUUGGUACCAGCAUAAAGGAGAUCUUUAGCAAAUAUUUAUUUAUUUUUAUUUAUUUGAAAGCAGAGUGACAGCAAGAGAACGAGAGGGAGGGAGAGAGAGAAUCUUCAAUCUGCUGGUUCACUCCCUAAUGGCCUUAACAGGGUCUGGGCCUGGAUGAAGCCAGGAGCCAGAAAUUUCAUUCUAGUCUUCCACAUGAGUGGCAGGGUCCCAAGUACUUGCACCAUCAUCCACUGCCUUCCCAGGCACAUUAGCAUGGAGCAGGAUCGGCAACAGAGUAGCUGGAACUGGAACCAGCACUCUAAUCGGGGAUGCCAGCAUAGGAGUUGGCGGCUUGACCUGCUGUUCUACAACAUCAACCUCUAAGUGUAAGAGCAAAAUACAUACGGAAAAUGUACAGAUCCUAAAUGAACAGAUUGCUGCUUUUUCUAAUAUCAUAGGUUAAUUUUGUGUAAUUAAAAAAAUUUUUUUGUUUCUUACUUAUUUGAGAGAGAGCGUUACAGAGAGGGAGAGACAGAGAGAGGUCUUCCAUCUGCUGGUUCACUCCCCAAUUGCUGCAACGGCUGGAGCUGGGCUGAUCCGAAGCCAGCAGCUAGGAGCUUCUUCCUGGUCUCCUAUGUGGGUGCAGGGCAAGCACUUGGGCCACCUUCCACUGUUUUCCCGGGCUAUAAGCAGAGAGCUGGAUCAGAAGAGGAGCAGCUGGACAUGAACCGGCAACCAUAGGGGAUGCUGGCGCCAUAGGCACAGGCUUUGCCUACUAUGCCACAGUGCCAACCCCAGUUUUGUCUAAUCUUAAACUUUUAAAAAAAAAAAAUUUUUUUUUUUGACAGGUAGAGUGGACAAUGAGAGAGACAGAGAGAAAGGUCUUCCUUUGCCGUUGGUUCACCCUCCAAUGGCCGCCGCGGCUGGCGCACUGUGGCCAGCGCACCGCGCUGAUCCGAUGGUAGGAGCCAGGUGCUUCUGGUCUCCCAUGGGGUGCAGGGCCCAAGUACUUGGGCCAUCCUCCACUGCACUCCCAGGCCACUCUGGCCUGGAAGAGGGGCAACUGGGACAGAAUCCGGCGCCCCAACUGGGACUAGAACCCGGUGUGCUGGUGCCGCAAGGCGGAGGAUUAGCCUAGUGAGCCGUGGUGCCGGCCUAAUCUUAAACUUGAUUCAAAUGGAAUAUACUGUGUGUUCUUUUAUGUCUCGCUUCUUUUGCUCAGUGUUAUAUUGGUAAGAUUUUUUUUUAAAGAUUUAAAAAAAAAUUUGUUUGAAAGGAAGACUUACAGAGAGGGAGACACAGAGAUCUUCCAUCCACUGGUUCACUCUCCAGAUGGCUACAAUGGUCAGGGCUGGUUGAAGCCAGGAGCUUCUUCCAGAUCCCCAUUGUGGGUGCAGGGGACCAAGUUCUUGAGCCGUGUUUUGCUGCUUUUUCCCUGGCCAUUUGCAGGGAGCUGGAUUGGAAGUAAAGUAGCCAGGACUUCAUCCGGUGCCCAUUUGGGAUACUGGUGUUGCAGGUGGCAGCUCUGUUUCGCUACAAUGCUAGCCCCUUAUUUGUAUGAUAUGUACAUGUUACUGUAUGUACCUUUUAACAGUACUUUUAGUUAAUUUUCACUAGUGUAUAGUAUUUCAUUGUAUGUAUGUGAAACAGUUUAAGUUACAUUCUGCUGUUAGUAUACACUUGAGCCCUUUGAAAUUUUUGUGUUAUGAAUGGUGCCUACUAUAAACAGUUUCUGUACAUGUCUUUUGGUGUAUAUAAAUAAGCAUACAUUUCUGUUGAAUAUCUAGAAGUGUAUUGCUGAGUCAUAAGUAUAGAGGCAGUCACUGUGAUGCAGAGGGUUAAGCUGCUUCUUGGGAUGCCCACAUCCCAUAUCAGGCUGCUGGUUCAAGUUCUGGCUAUCUGCUUCCAGCAAGCAACAAAUGAUAGCUCAAGUAUUUGAGUCACUGCUACCCCUGUGGGAGACCUAGAUGGAAUUCCUGGCUCCUGGCUUCUGCCUGGCCCAGCCCUGGCUAUUGUGGACAUUUGGGGAGUGAACCAAAGGAUGGAAGAUCAAUUUCUCUCUUUCACUCUGCCUUUCAAAGGAAUAAAGAAAUU